Cervus elaphus (red deer) is the source of this 104-nucleotide small nuclear RNA. The record is from RefSeq and is a predicted model, not a curated record. NCBI's taxonomy places the organism in Eukaryota, Metazoa, Chordata, Mammalia, Artiodactyla, Cervidae.
AUGCUCGCUUCAGCAGUACAUAUACCAAAAUUAGAACAACAUAGGAAAGGUUAGCAUGGCUACUGAGUAAGGAUAUGCAAAUUUGUGAAGCAUUCCGUACUUUU